GUGCCAGCCGCCGCGGUAAUACAGAGGUGGCAAGCGUUGUUCGGAAUUACUGGGCGUAAAGGGCGCGUAGGCGGCCUCGCAAGUCCCGUGUGAAAUCCCUCGGCUCAACUGAGGAAUGGCACGGGAAACUGCGGGGCUUGAGUUCGGGAGAGGGAAGCGGAAUUCCGGGUGUAGCGGUGAAAUGCGUAGAUAUCCGGAGGAACACCGGUGGCGAAGGCGGCUUCCUGGACCGAUACUGACGCUGAGGCGCGAAAGCUAGGGGAGCAAACGGGAUUAGAUACCCGAGUAGUCC
Molecule: ribosomal RNA, 292 nt
Filed under: uncultured bacterium
Lineage: Bacteria
Description: partial 16S ribosomal RNA
Rfam family: Bacterial small subunit ribosomal RNA
Source: RNAcentral